Molecule: ribosomal RNA, 397 nt
Filed under: uncultured bacterium
Lineage: Bacteria
Description: bacterial SSU rRNA
Rfam family: Bacterial small subunit ribosomal RNA
Source: RNAcentral
GACGAACGCUGGCGGCGUGCUUAACACAUGCAAGUCGAGCGGUAAGGCCCUUCGGGUACGACGAGCGGCGAACGGGUGAGUAACACGUGGGUGACCUGCCCUCCACUUCGGGAUAAGCCCGGGAAACUGGGUCUAAUACCGGUUAGGACCUCCUCAUGCAUGUGGGGUGGUGGAAAGCUUGUGUCUUUGAUGCUUGCGGUGGGGGAUGGGCCCGCGGUCUAUCAGCUUGUUGGUGGGGUGAGGCCUACCAAGGCGACGACGGAUAGCCGGCCUGAGAGGGUGAUCGGCCACACUGGGACUGAGACACGGCCCAGACUCCUACGGGAGGGCAGCAGUGGGGAAGUCUUGCGCAAUGGGCGGAAGCCUGACGCAGCAACGCCGCGUGGGGAUGACGGCC